RNAcentral lists this transfer RNA (29 nucleotides) under Rattus exulans (Polynesian rat). Its description in RNAcentral is "partial tRNA-Thr". Lineage: Eukaryota; Metazoa; Chordata; Mammalia; Rodentia; Muridae. The record is from RNAcentral.
AAAAAUGAAGAGUUAAUCUUCUCAGGACA